This 232-nucleotide ribosomal RNA is filed under the name uncultured bacterium. Its description in RNAcentral is "partial 16S ribosomal RNA". It matches the Rfam family "Bacterial small subunit ribosomal RNA", at positions 99 to 334 of the family's 1533-position model. The record is from RNAcentral.
CGGACGGGUGAGUAAUGUCUGGGAAACUGCCUGAUGGAGGGGGAUAACUACUGGAAACGGUAGCUAAUACCGCAUAACGUCGCAAGACCAAAGAGGGGGACCUUAGGGCCUCUUGCCAUCGGAUGUGCCCAGAUGGGAUUAGCCAGUAGGUGGGGUAACGGCUCACCUAGGCGACGAUCCCUAGCUGGUCUGAGAGGAUGACCAGCCACACUGGAACUGAGACACGGUCCAG